This 699-nucleotide ribosomal RNA is filed under the name uncultured marine archaeon. Its description in RNAcentral is "bacterial SSU rRNA". It matches the Rfam family "Archaeal small subunit ribosomal RNA", at positions 102 to 802 of the family's 1478-position model. The record is from RNAcentral.
AGUCAACCUACCCUAUGGACGGGAAUAAUCUCGGGAAACUGAGGAUAAUUCCAGAUAGAUCACAAUGCCUGGAACGGUUUGUGUUCCAAAUGAUUUAUCGCCGUAGGAUGGGACUGCGUCCUAUCAGUUUGUUGGUGAGGUAAUGGCCCACCAAGACUAUUACAGGUACGGGCUCUGAGAGGAGUAGCCCGGAGAUGGGUACUGAGACACGGACCCAGGCCCUAUGGGGCGCAGCAGGCGAGAAAACUUUGCAAUGUGCGAAAGCACGACAAGGUUAAUCCGAGUGGUUCCUGCUAAAGGAACCUUUUGACGGUCCUAAAAACACCGUUGAAUAAGGGGUGGGCAAGUUCUGGUGUCAGCCGCCGCGGUAAAACCAGCACCUCAAGUGGUCAGGAUGAUUAUUGGGCCUAAAGCAUCCGUAGCCGGCUCUGUGAGUUUUCGGUUAAAUCUGUGCGCUCAACGUACAGGCUGCCGGGAAUACUGCAAAGCUAGGGAGUGGGAGAGGUAGACGGUACUUGGUAGGAAGGGGUAAAAUCCUCUGAUCUAUUGAUGACCACCUGUGGCGAAGGCGGUCUACCAGAACACGUCCGACGGUGAGGGAUGAAAGCUGGGGGAGCAAACCGGAUUAGAUACCCGGGUAGUCCCAGCUGUAAACUAUGCAAACUCAAUGAUGCAUUGGCUUGAAGCCAAUGCAGUGUU